GACGAAUGCUGGCUGCGUGCUUAACACAUGCAAGUCGAACGGUGAACAGGGGCUUGCCCCUGGGAUCAGUGACGAACGGGUGAGUAACACGUGGGCAACCUGCCCCUCACUCUGGGAUAACUCCGGGAAACCGGGGCUAAUACCGGAUACGACCUGGUGCGACAUCGCACCGGGUGGAAAGAACUUCGGUGAGGGAUGGGCCCGCGGCCUAUCGGCUUGUUGGUGGGGUAACGGCCCACCAAGGCGACGACGGGUAGCCGGCCUGAGAGGGCGACCGGCCACACUGGGACUGGGACACGGCCCAGACUCCUACGGGAGGCAGCAGUGGGGUAUAUUGCGCAAUGGGCGAAAGCCUGACGCAGCGACGCAGCGUGAGGGACGAAGGCCUUCGGGUUGUAAACCUCUUUCAGCGGGGACGAAGCGCAAGUGACGGUACCCGCAGAAGAAGCACCGGCUAACUACGUGCCAGCAGCCGCCGUAA
Molecule: ribosomal RNA, 481 nt
Filed under: uncultured bacterium
Lineage: Bacteria
Description: partial 16S ribosomal RNA
Rfam family: Bacterial small subunit ribosomal RNA
Source: RNAcentral